UUCAGAGAAUGAACUAAAACUUUGGUAGCAAAACUAUAUUUUAUCAGGCUUCUAAGGUCACCUAAAACACAACUCAAAACAGCACUUCUGAAUUUGCAUAACAGCCCAGAAAACAACAUAUAAAAAUUCAUAUCUCCUAAACUAUGCAACCAAAAAUUAUGAAAUUUUGCUGAUAGGAAGAACUUUUAUUCCUCUACAAAAGUCUUUGUAGUUGGAAGAGCUAAUUCGGCAAUUUACAAGGUGAAAAAUACCAAUGAACAGACCUGACUCGAUCUGCCAGGCAAACACGAACAGUCACAUUGAACCGGCCAUAACUGGAGUUCUACUCCACCAAAAAUUGCAAAAUACGAAUUGGAAAUCUUACUAAAUCCUCCACAACUUCCUAAUCUAUCUCAAGAAUCAAUUCCGCACCUACCGUAUCCAAAACUUGUACCCUAGAGAAACUGUUGAAUCUGCUAAGAAACUACAACUAGAAAAUGACGUUAAACCCCAAUCCAACCUCUAAUCCUUUAAUCCCCCACAGCCAAAACCUCCAAAACCACUUAAUUAUAGAGGAAGGAUAUGGAUUCCACUCUUACCUAAGGCUUCCCUAUGGAAAUCUGCAAGGGGAGGUUGGGGAAAAAUACCGAUCUAGCAUAUAUCCUCGAUCCUCGCUUCCUCUUCAAUCCAUCUUGCUCCUUCUCUUCUCGAUCCUUGCUGCAAUGGAGGAGAUCUAGAGGUGGAAGGGAGCAGUGGAGAGUGGAGGAGGUGUGCUGGGAAGGGGUCGUGAGGAGGGGGAGAGGGGGCGGCACUGGGGGUUCGGCCAGAAGGGGGUGGAGGUAAGUGUUACAUGCCCUCCUCUAUUUUUCUUGAUUCAUCUCAUCCAUUCAUUCUUCAAUUCCACAAAACUUCAUGAUCAUAAAUCCAAAUGCUACAUAUGAGUAGUCAAAUGGAUUGCUUUCGAAAAGAUCUAUGCAUCCACGGUCACCGAUUUUCUAUACGAGCUAUGGAUCAAAAAAGUUAACUUUUGCCCCUCCUUAAAACACCUGGUCAGCAUGUACACUUUAUCGCAAUAAAUUUUCGAUAAAUCUGAUAGCUCCGUUUGUCGGCAAGGUCCAGUAAAACUAUUUUUACCACCGAAAUUUUAAUGUUCACCCGAAUUCACACACAAUUGACUGGUCGACCUACGUAAACUGUUUGAAAAUAAUUGUGUAAUUAUUUGAAGAAAUUGGGACAAAAUUUUGUUUAAAUUUUAACCGAAAAUCAAUUUGCUAAACCGUAAAGGAUUUACGAUAAAGCUGAUAAACCCGUUUAUCAGUGACCUCCGAUAAUUUCCUCUUACCGGUAACGUUAACCCUGCAACCUACUGCCACCGAUGGUCUGAUGCCCUCCCGCAAGAAUCCCUUUAGAUCCCGCGGCCACAUAUGCCUACCUCAACCAGAUGGAUAGCUAACCCCAAG
This 1439-nucleotide long non-coding RNA is filed under the name Setaria viridis. RNAcentral's name for it is "long non-coding RNA (SVIR_LNC003716)". The record is from RNAcentral. Lineage: Eukaryota; Viridiplantae; Streptophyta; Magnoliopsida; Poales; Poaceae.